UCUUACUAAACUGCCGUAUGCAAUCGCUUAAGUAGCAAAGAUCUUGUUUCUCUCUCAGCCCAGUAAUCCCGGUGACGUCCUUUUGCAGUGAUCCAGGACCCCCUCCCUGGGCAGUGUGAGAACGGGCAGGGACACAGCCCCUGAUGGGACCGCAGAGCCUGGAGCCUUCCCUUCCUUCUGCUGCUCCUGUCCUCGCCCCGUCUCCCAUCACCAACGCUCCAUCUGCGUCCCCCAAAGCAACCAGGCUCCGGCAGCAGCCCUCCUGCAAGCCCGGGGCAAGGAAACAAGCAUUUCUUAUUAUCGGGACAACUGACGUUAUUUCAGCCCAUCACUAAGACUUG
This 341-nucleotide long non-coding RNA is filed under the name Calidris pugnax (ruff). Its description in RNAcentral is "lncRNA (ENSCPUG00000012462.1)". Lineage: Eukaryota; Metazoa; Chordata; Aves; Charadriiformes; Scolopacidae. The record is from RNAcentral.